UCUCCCAACACUAAACUGGACUAAUCUAUGCCAAUAUAGAAGCAACACUGUUAAUAUGAGUAACAAGAUUUAAAUCUCCUAGCACAAGUAUAUAUCAGAACAAAUACUUUACUGAUAGUUAACGGCCAAAUAAAUAAACCCCGCUAUAAAACAUUUAUUCUUCCACCGUUAACCCAACACAGGAGUGCACUCAAGGAAAGAUUAAAAGAAGUAAAAGGAACUCGGCAAACACAAACCCCGCCUGUUUACCAAAAACAUCACCUCUAGCAUUACUAGUAUUAGAGGCACUGCCUGCCCAGUGACAGUUGUUUAACGGCCGCGGUAUCCUGACCGUGCAAAGGUAGCAUAAUCAUUUGUUCCCUAAAUAGGGACUUGUAUGAAUGGCCACACGAGGGUUUAACUGUCUCUUACUUCCAAUCAGUGAAAUUGACCUUUCCGUGAAGAGGCGGAAAUGUACUAAUUAGACGAGAAGACCCUAUGGAGCUUUAAUUUAUCUAUUCCAAUAGAAUAACUAAUAACCCACACAGGAAUAACAUUUCAUUCUAACUGGAUAGAAAAUUUCGGUUGGGGUGACCUCGGAGCACAAACUAACCUCCGAGAAUCUUUACCAAGACUAACAAGUCUAAGUAUAAUUAUAUUAAUUGAUCCAGUCUAACUGAUCAACGGAACAAGUUACCCUAGGGAUAACAGCGCAAUCCUAUUCUAGAGUCCUUAUCGACAAUAGGGUUUACGACCUCGAUG
Molecule: ribosomal RNA, 741 nt
Filed under: Cryptotis mexicanus (Mexican small-eared shrew)
Lineage: Eukaryota; Metazoa; Chordata; Mammalia; Eulipotyphla; Soricidae
Description: Cryptotis mexicana (Mexican small-eared shrew) partial 16S ribosomal RNA
Rfam family: Bacterial large subunit ribosomal RNA
Source: RNAcentral